Molecule: ribosomal RNA, 504 nt
Filed under: uncultured bacterium
Lineage: Bacteria
Description: bacterial SSU rRNA
Rfam family: Bacterial small subunit ribosomal RNA
Source: RNAcentral
GACGAACGCUGGCGGCGUGCUUAACACAUGCAAGUGGAGCGACGAACCGGGCUUCGGCCCGGGGCAGAGCCGCGAACGGGUGAGUAACACGUGGGUAACGUGCCCUGAUGACUGGGACAACCCGGGGAAACCCGGGCUAAUACCAGAUGUGGCCUUCCGCCAUCAGGCGGUCGGCUAAAGGUAGCUUCGGCUUCCGCAUCAGGAUCGGCCCGCGGCCCAUUAGCUUGUUGGUGGGGUAAAGGCCUACCAAGGCGACGAUGGGUAGCUGGUCUGAGAGGACGAUCAGCCACACUGGGACUGAGACACGGCCCAGACUCCUACGGGAGGCAGCAGUGGGGAAUCUUGCGCAAUGCGCGAAAGCGUGACGCAGCAACGCCGCGUGGGGGAAGACGGCCUUCGGGUUGUAAACCCCUUUCAGUUGGGACGAAGCUUCGCCGGUGAAUAGCCGGCUGGAGUGACGGUACCUUCACAAGAAGCCCCGGCUAACUACGUGCCAGCAGCCGC